CAGGACCAAGCAAAAUUGCCCAUUUUUAAGGUCUUUGUUCCAUUCUCGUUACUCGACAAUGAGCAAAGAGGGGCAGCUAUAAAAGACCAAUUUUAGCCUGGCCAAAAAUAAUAAAACAAAUUAAAAUAAAAAAAAUCAAACAUACCCAAAACAAAAAUAAGGUCCCAGUCCAGUUAUAACAUCGACCCAAAUAACAAACCCAAAUGGUCCAAUCAUUAAACCCAAAUUAAUUUACCCUAGCCCAAUACAACCUUAGCCCAUAACAUAUUCAAAAAAAAUAAGAAGAAAAAACCCUAGACAAACAAAACCAGCCGCCGCUGCCUCUAGUCGUCGGCCACGUGUGCCGCCACGUUGACCACCGUACGGCCUUGUACCUGCAAAAUGAACUAGAAGAAUAUAAAAGCAAAAAACAAUGUAAAAAAAUAAAAAGAAAAUAG
Molecule: long non-coding RNA, 437 nt
Filed under: Gossypium raimondii (Peruvian cotton)
Lineage: Eukaryota; Viridiplantae; Streptophyta; Magnoliopsida; Malvales; Malvaceae
Description: long non-coding RNA (GRAI_LNC004373)
Source: RNAcentral